GAAGCCUAGGUGACUGGUCUGCUCAACAGGGAGAAGACAAGCGUUCAUUCACUUGUGCUAAUGUGAAGGAAAGUGGGCCCGAAACUACAGGGAAGUCGACUACGACAAGGACUGAGAUUUGGUAUGAAGCCCAGUGCCAAAGGAGGGGGCUGCUGAAGAGAGAAGAGGCUGAGCAGGAUGGUUCUGAAUCCAGACAGCAAGCCCAGGCCAGGUCCAAGUGGCUUUGCUAUGUCAGGCCUGCCAUAGCCCAUCCUGGACCCGUUCACUACAGACUGAUUUCUUCUCUCUCUGUCCAUCUCAAGAUGCUAUUCGGAUGGAUCGCUUGCUGAAAAUGGUCAGUAAUAUGUUGGGUAGGUAAGUGAUGGGGGGAUGUCUUGUGAGCAGAAUCUAGGGGGAGGAAGACAGGUAUAUGGGCAGUCUCCCUGAGGAACUGGAUUCUGUUCUGUUCACGAAGACGAUGUCUAAAGAACCCUCUCUCCCUAACUUUCCUAAUCAGUUAAAUGACUCAGUCUUACAAUUUAGGGAGAGGUGAGAUGGGGAUGGGGCCAAAACUGCGCUAUCCUAAGAGGUAUCUGUGGCCUGAAGUGUUGUCCACAGUCAGCACUCAUCUGACAACACACGCACUAUAGUGUCACAGAGAGGCCGUAGCCAGCAGAAUGAGGAAGACCACAUUACUUUCUUGUUCACUGGGUUAACCUGCAUUGAAAUAAGUGGGAAAAGAUGCCUGCCUGCUCUAUGGGGGAACACUGUCCCUGCCUGCUUUGGCCAGAGAUACACAGGGUUAUCGUGGGGCUUAGAGUGAGCUUGUCUGAGGUCAAAAGAGGGUCAGAGAAGCUUGUCUGAGGUUCACUCAGCUCUCACAGCAAACGAGGAAGUGCAGGGUUAUGAAAUUACACAGACCAGGGUAAGUAGGAUUUCCCAGGGGCCACUAACAUAAAGGAACCCAAGAGGCUCGUGGGAAAACGAAGAAGUGGGCAGCCUGGUGUGGUCAUAACCUUUGUCUGGUCAAUAAACCUCGGAAGGAGAAAGAGCAUGGCACAGCCCAGAUCUGGGACCAGAGAGCUGGUCUAACCCUUCUCAGAGUGGAAGAAACCCUAUCAUGGCUUUUCUGCUCAGCCCCUCUCUCCGGGUCUUACCAGCCUGGCUGGGUUUGGUACUGCAGACACCCCUGGUGAGAGGACGCUCUCUCAUGGCAAGCCCAGAGUCAGCCUUGCUCACUUUGCGCUGCCUGCCUCAGCCUUAAAGUGUGGCCCAGGUUUCAUCUGGAGAGCCUGGAAUCAUGGACUCAGCCUUCUCCCUGGAACCACCUCUGUUCUGGAAGCUGAGCCCUGUGUCAUCAGGGGUGGGGUGGGGCUCUCCAGCUAUUCUAAUGAAGCCAGUCCAAGACUCUGCUGCUCUGAAGACUCUGAUCCAAAGGUGGCCACUCUAUCACUGCUUCAGAUCACAAACGACAGCUUCCAGCUGACAUCUGGCUUCCUUGGCCUGUUGCUGAUUUCAUCCCCACACCCCGCCCUGCUCCACUGGGCGCUUGAGACUGCUGCGGGCCAAAUGACUGCACUGGCCUAUGGGUGACCUGGCCUCUGGCUAGAACUGCUUCCGUCCCUUCCCUCAGUCCCAUGUUCCUUCCCACUAAGUCCCCUGUCUUUAACAUUGGGGGGUUAAAAAGAAGUAAAGAGUCAACCUUC
Tupaia belangeri chinensis (Chinese tree shrew) is the source of this 1685-nucleotide long non-coding RNA. RefSeq lists it as uncharacterized. Lineage: Eukaryota; Metazoa; Chordata; Mammalia; Scandentia; Tupaiidae. The transcript has 4 exons. The record is from RefSeq and is a predicted model, not a curated record.